Mirounga angustirostris (Northern elephant seal) is the source of this 3127-nucleotide long non-coding RNA. RefSeq lists it as uncharacterized. The record is from RefSeq and is a predicted model, not a curated record. Lineage: Eukaryota; Metazoa; Chordata; Mammalia; Carnivora; Phocidae. The transcript is spliced from 4 exons.
CCCGCUGGCGCUUACGUAACUGCUGCCCUUCACCGGGGACCGGGUGCCGCUCUGAGUCACGGGCCGCAGGGCGAGGGGAGAGGGCCCGCCGCGCCCCGCGCACGUGACCCGUCAGAUGACUCGUUCCAAGUUUGCACGGGCUCCUUUACCGGCAGGCUCUAAGGCUUCUCAUCCGCAUCCCCGAUUAGUCAUCCCCGAGUGACAUCUGAUACAUGCGCCCCGGCUCGCUCCGGGGACAGGGCAGGCGGCUGAUGAUGGAGGGGAGGAAAGGCCGCUCCAGCCGCCUCCGAUUCUUGCUGGAACCCGAGUUUAUGCUGAGUCAAGGAAACCUACUGUGAAAAGUGCCGGGGAAAGACAAGUCCCUUUUUCUAGACAAAUCUUAGAUGCUUCUGGGCUGGGAGCGGGGAGGCCGGCGAGGGGGAGGGGAGACUGAUCGGCGGGUGACUGGCAGGCAACAGGCCAUUCAAGGCAGGCUUCGGAUUUGGGGGGAUUGCUGUUAGAGGUGGAGUGUGCUCCCUCCUGUUUAAAGUAUGUAGUUAUCACAGCAGUUACCCUUCCCAGUUUCUCCCGUCUGGAGGGUGCCCCCCCCCGGGGGGGGGCAGCCCUGCCUCCCCACCCAGGCCUCCAGAAUCCCAGUUGCGCCCAUGAAUGUUGGAGAACACAGGUGUCCUGGCGGCCGAGUGGCGAAGCCCAGGGUCGACACUAGAUGGGCUCCUACUACACCAGGUUUGGGGGAAUGCAGAGUCAUGGUCUUUGAUCUUUGCAUAAUCCAGUCAAGAUUUGUCCAAUUCGAGAGUCAACCCAGUGGAAAUCAACUGGGGGCUGAAUCAGACUCCUGAUCAUACCUUGAGCAAGCCCUUGCUUCGCAAGCACACUCAUUCCAGCAAAGGCACAACUUAAUUGUGAGGCAGGAAGAAAAGAAAGGAGACAAGGUGUUUCUUAACAGUUACCAAGUGAGGGGAAGGCCAACUUGUUGCUUUCACUGGCAACACUUAACUCCGAAAGCAAUGUCCUCACUUAAAAGGAAAACAAAUGGAGUCGGGUGGUAGGCUUUUGAAAGGAGGAGCAGAGAGUUCGGGUUUGUGGAAACCUGGCUUUAUUUUCCUGGAGGGCCUUGUUAAGACACAUUUGCCUUGAGAUAAAAGGUUUUCUUUUGGGACAAUCCCAAAAUGACUUUGCCUGAUUCAAUUAAGCAAGGCCUAAUGAAAGAGAAUUCCUGCUUGGAGAUAUGCAUCAUCCCACCAGACUCAGGCAGUGGGAAGCUGGUAGAGUCUUGGUCUAUGAACUUUGAACCGUGUGGAGGAAGCUUUGCUCACCAGUCAAGUCCCCUGGUCCCUGCAUGAAGACACCUGCUUGGGUCUCUAGACAGGAUGACUCCCCAGGGAUGCUGGCAGCUGGAAAUCCUGCCAGGGCAGGCUUCAAUGUGCGUAUGUAAUAACAAGUCUCUAGCUCUUCUGUUUCAAGCCAACCUCCCAGGAAAAGGAUGGAGGGAAGAAACUGUCCUGCUUGGGGUUCAGGUACUACCACUGUCAGAGUCUCAGGUGACCUCAGUGACAUGUGACUAGAUGACAUAUGGCACUCAUCUCCAUGCCCACAGCAUGGUUGGUGCUCCACAAUGGUAGGUCUCUUUCUUGCCCCGGGCCCCUACCCCUGCCUGGAGCCUGCCCUCACCCUGCUGACUCCCGGGAAAGACCACUCCAGCAUCCGGCUCUGAUCUCUCACAGACAGGUGUUCCUCUUGGUCCAGCAGAGGGGUAGGGUGCCAACCACUGUCCAGGGAGCAUGUCAGCAGGACCAGGCUUGGUCUUCCCAGCAGAAGGGCCCAGCGUUGAACCAGGAGGCUCCAGGGCGGGGAGCUGGGCUCCUGCCCUGCUGCAGUUUCCUCUGGGCAAGGACGGUGAUCUGUAUUCACAUUUGCAUCCAUCGUCAUGUAUUUUCUGAGCAUAUACAACAUCGGGAGCUGGGAUUUCCUUCUGCUUUUCCUUGUGUGAGGGUUCACACCACCUGGUCCAACAUUCAGAUGGCGCUUCCCCAUUACGUGCAUUCUGCUUUCAGGGAAGGGAACGGGGCCAGAGCCCCAUGUUGUGUUCUCAGCAUGAUGGUGAAACAUGCUCAUGCACUCAAUCUCCAAUGAGCACCUGGAGCCACACCUUCUCAGGAUUUGCCAUCUUCGAGAACUACUUGAUUGCUAACUGUAAGUCAGAAAUCCAAUUUAACGGAUAGAUUCCACCAUCCUUGUUCUAGGCACUGGGAGCGCCCCCGGGAACCAGGGGUUAGGAACAGCCACAACACGUAUCAUUAAACAAGAAAGGUGACCAGCCCCGAUUGCAAGUGUUGUCACCCAUCCCUUGUCAACAGGCACACACCCCCACUUGCAUGAACCCUGGGGUAGUGAAUAGCAGCUUGUCUAGCUGAGGUGCUGGGGAUUUUGUCAAAGCCCGCCUAAUGAAAAGGCAGGACCACCUACCAUGAACUUUUCUCUAUGACUUCAUUCUUCAGCAGUGCUCAAGUAUAAAUGUACUUAUUUACCAAGAUCAGAAUGGGGAUGUUAAUGGAGUCUUAUUUGCGCCAUCACAAUGACCAGUAAUUUAUGCCCAGUGGAACUCAGGAGAGUGGAGGAAAUAACCAGAGAAAUUGUCUUUCUGUUCUAAAGUUUCCAUACAGAUAUCCUGGGCCAAAGUUAGCACUGUCAAUAUUCUCCUUUGCUUUUGAUUGUGUGUCCGUAGUAGAGAAAAACCUUGUUACCGUGCCUCAUGUGGUAAACAAAAUUAUACUGUAUCCAACAAGAAGAAAAGUGAAAUAAGAAGCAUUGAUGAAUGCGCCAACGGGUGUAACCUUGGUGGCCAGUCUGUGGUUUUUAUGAAAUGAGUGCAUGAACGCGAGGGCCGUAAUUAUUGCUUUCAAUCGACAAAGUAUGGUGAAUAUAGGGAAAGUGGUAGCACAAUGCUGGAUGUGUCUCAAAGCAGCUUUAGACAUAGAUACAGAAAUUCUUGUGCACAUGGCAUUACAUUAAAAAAUUAUUUUCAAACGCAAGGCAGUUUUUAAUGCUUGGGUAGAUUGGGUGGAUGACUAAUUUUGUUUUUGUUGUUCGGUAGCAGGGAUCCACAGACUCCAGCCCAUGAGCCAAA